RNAcentral lists this ribosomal RNA (616 nucleotides) under uncultured Legionella sp. Its description in RNAcentral is "bacterial SSU rRNA". It matches the Rfam family "Bacterial small subunit ribosomal RNA", at positions 242 to 849 of the family's 1533-position model. Lineage: Bacteria; Pseudomonadati; Pseudomonadota; Gammaproteobacteria; Legionellales; Legionellaceae. The record is from RNAcentral.
UAGCUAGUUGGUGGGGUAAGGGCCUACCAAGGCUGUGAUCGGUAGCUGGUCUGAGAGGAUGGUCAGCCACACUGGGACUGAGACACGGCCCAGACUCCCACGGGAGGCAGCAGUGGGGAAUAUUGGACAAUGGGGGCAACCCUGAUCCAGCGAUGCCGCGUGUGUGAAGAAGGCCUGAGGGUUGUAAAGCACUUUCAGUGGGGAGGAGGAUUCAUGGGUUAAGAGCUAGUGAAUUGGACGUUACCCACAGAAGAAGCACCGGCUAACUCCGUGCCAGCAGCCGCGGUAAUACGGAGGGUGCAAGUGUUAAUCGGAAUUACUGGGCGUAAAGGGUGCGUAGGUGGUUGAUUAAGUUAUCUGUGAAAUCCCCGGGCUCAACCUGGGCAGGUCAGAUAAUACUGGUUAACUCGAGUGUGGGAGAGGGUAGUGGAAUUUCCGGUGUAGCGGUGAAAUGCGCAGAGAUCGGAAGGAACACCAGUGGCGAAGGCGGCUACCUGGCCUAACACUGACACUGAGGCACGAAAGCGUGGGGAGCAAACAGGAUUAGAUACCCUGGUAGUCCACGCUGUAAACGAUGUCAACUAGCUGUUGGAUAUAUGAAUAUAUUUAGUGGCGA